Sphaerodactylus townsendi is the source of this 442-nucleotide long non-coding RNA. RefSeq lists it as uncharacterized. The record is from RefSeq and is a predicted model, not a curated record. NCBI's taxonomy places the organism in Eukaryota, Metazoa, Chordata, Lepidosauria, Squamata, Sphaerodactylidae. The transcript is spliced from 3 exons.
UGCAAGCGCCUUUUUCAGAAAACCCCGUAAAGGCGAAUCCGACUCAUGUUCCCACCAAGUGUCUCCCUCCUGUUGCUGUCCAAUUUUCCCUUCACUUGCAAUCUACUUUUUCCUCCCCGCCUUCUGACACUCCCCCCCCCCCCGUACCGCACUUCUUCCUGGACUUUGCAUCUAAACGCAGCAACCUUGCAUACCCUCGGAGCAGGCAAAGCCAAGAGAGGCAACGAUGAACAUUGAACAUGAAAUCAGUCUUUUAGUUGAAGAAAUCCAACGAUUGGGGACCAAAAACGCUGAUGGAAUAUUGAGUGUGAAGUUUGGGCAAUUCUUGGCCGAUGCAUGAAAAAUGCAAAGCCAACCCUUUGAAGCAAUAGUGCGGGUACUCUUAAAGCUCUAAAACUGAAGAAAGAUCGUUGAAGGUCCUGGAUAGCUGCUUCGCCUGCAA